AGAACGAACGCUGGCGGCAUGCCUAAUACAUGCAAGUCGAACGAAGGCUUCGGCCUUAGUGGCGCACGGGUGCGUAACGCGUGGGAAUCUGCCCCUUGGUUCGGAAUAACAGUUGGAAACGACUGCUAAUACCGGAUGAUGACGAAAGUCCAAAGAUUUAUCGCCAAGGGAUGAGCCCGCGUAGGAUUAGCUAGUUGGUGAGGUAAAGGCUCACCAAGGCGACGAUCCUUAGCUGGUCUGAGAGGAUGAUCAGCCACACUGGGACUGAGACACGGCCCA
Molecule: ribosomal RNA, 279 nt
Filed under: uncultured soil bacterium
Lineage: Bacteria
Description: partial 16S ribosomal RNA
Rfam family: Bacterial small subunit ribosomal RNA
Source: RNAcentral